AAGGAUAUCUACCAGAAGUUAGGAUUCACAUCACAAGGGACAAGUGCUGCAAAGAUAAAAAGAAUAUGCUGUAAGAAUAUCUAUCAUGUAUAAUCAGAAGCAAAGAAAUUUAAUCUAAUCCACAUGCUGGAAAUUCCUCUUGUGCUACCAAGAUUUUUCUACAGUCCAUGGAAAAUUGAGAUUAAGUAUGAAUUCUCUUAUCUGCAGCUACAUAAGUCCAGGGUAACUCCAUUGAAGUUGGUGGACAUGAUGAGACAGAAGUAUUAAUGACAUAAUGCUGAUGGUACGAGUGUUCUUCCUGAGCUGAUCCUGUUUGUUUGCUGCACUCAACUACAGCAUUACAAGUCUCCAAUAAUGGAGAUAAGUAUUCAGUAGUACUCAUGGAUAGAUUAAAAAAAAAAAAAAAGACAUGUUACACAUGUCAGUGUGAAUUAUUAUCCUAGUUUUAGUGGUUUAGAAUUUGAAAAACAAAGGGAGGUUGAUGUUUGAAGUAUGUCAUUGAAAUCUCCACGGAGGAGGGAAAUUGGGAGUGUUAUACUACAG
Molecule: long non-coding RNA, 543 nt
Filed under: Chrysolophus pictus (golden pheasant)
Lineage: Eukaryota; Metazoa; Chordata; Aves; Galliformes; Phasianidae
Description: lncRNA (ENSCPIG00010009754.1)
Source: RNAcentral